Molecule: long non-coding RNA, 1126 nt
Organism: Oncorhynchus tshawytscha (Chinook salmon)
Lineage: Eukaryota; Metazoa; Chordata; Actinopteri; Salmoniformes; Salmonidae
Source: Ensembl
AUGAUUGACGCUCGUAAAUGGCAGGCGAAAAACGAGUCCAGCAAGUUAGAAAAAAUUCCAAGUGUAAUUUUCCGCCAUCGUACAAAACCCCCUCUGCCCAGGAGUUGCUCAUCUUUAGUUCUCAGAAAGAGAGGAGAAGUUGUUUGUGCAUAUUUUCUCAUCUGAGUAGUCUACAGGUCCUAGCAGACACAACGUCUCUGAUAUUCUCAGAGACCUAAAAGGACAUGGAUAUGAAGCCUCUGAUGAUUCUCCUCCUGCUAGCAGCAGCUGUCACCACCACCACCCCUGCAGCAGCUGUCACCACCACCACCCCUGCAGCCGCUGUCACCACCACCACUCCUCCAGCAGCUGUCACUACCACCACUCCUGCAGCAGCUGUCACCACCACCACUCCUGCAGCAGCUGUCACCACCACCACUCCAGUAGCAGCAGUCACCACCACCACUCCUGCAGCAGCUGUUACCACCACCACUCCUCCAGCAGCUGGUACCACCACCACUCCAGCAGCUGUCACCACCACCAGUCCUCCAGCAGCUGGUACCACCACCACUCCUCCAGCAGCUGGUACCACCACCACUCCUCCAGCAGCUGGUACCACCACCACUCCUCCAGCAGCUGGUACCACCACCACUCCUGCAGCAGCUGGUACCACCACCACUCCUCCAGCAGCUGUCACCACCACCACUCCUGCAGCAGCUGUCACCACCACCACUCCUGCAGCAGCUGUCACCACCACCACUCCUGCAGCAGCUGUCACCACCACCACUCCUGCAGCAGCUGUCACCACCACCACUCCUGCAGCAGCUGUCACCACCACCACUCCUGCAGCAGCUGUCACCACCACCACUCCUGCAGCAGCUGUCACUACCACCACUCCUGCAGCAGCUGUCACCACCACCACUCCUGCAGCAGCUGUCACUACCACCACUCCUGCAGGAGCUGUCACCACCACCACUCCUGCAGCAGCUGUCACUACCACCACUCCUGCAGCAGCUGUCACUAACACCAGUCCUGCAGCAGCUGUCACUACCACCACUCCUGCAGCAGCUGUCACCACCACCACUCCUGCAGCAGCUGUCACCACCACCACUCCUGCAGCAGCUGUCACCACCACCACUCCUGCAGC